AACUGAUACUACCUGCGGGAACCUGCGGAGGGAUCAUUACUGAGGAGGGUCCAUGGCCCGAUCUCCAACCCUUUGAUAAAAACACCAUGUUGCUUUGGCAGGCCCGCCCGUUGGGGCCGCGGGGGAUCGCCGGUCCCUAGCCCGUGCCUGCCGGUAGCCUUCACAAAACUCUCAAAAUGUUGUCGUCUGAGAUGAUUAGAAUAAUAAAACUUUCAACAACGGAUCUCUAGAUCGGAAGAG
Molecule: unclassified non-coding RNA, 240 nt
Filed under: soil metagenome
Description: partial contains 5.8S ribosomal RNA, internal transcribed spacer 2, and large subunit ribosomal RNA
Source: RNAcentral